This is a non-coding RNA of Lonchura striata (white-rumped munia), 332 nucleotides long. The record is from RefSeq and is a predicted model, not a curated record. NCBI's taxonomy places the organism in Eukaryota, Metazoa, Chordata, Aves, Passeriformes, Estrildidae.
UUACUCACUUCUGGAAGCAGAGGAAGGAGGAAGCCCGACCUGCACAUGCUUGCACCAUCUGCUGGCAGCAUCUCCACUGACAGACAUUCCUAGAAGGGAUUCUGGAAUUCCUCAUCCACACCUAGGGACACGAGGCCACCGUUAUAAAGGUUUAAGAUUCAGGAGCCCUUGGGUGGAUCCGGCGCGCAGCGUUCCCUCCUGCCGUGGAAUUUCACCUAGUAAUUUCUGUGGCCCACAGAAAAUCCUUGGAGGGGUUUGUCUGGCUUCAGAAGCAAAUCUAAGUGCCUGUGGCUUGACAAAUAAACAAUCUGAAUGUGCUUAAUGACUCACAA